GCCGCAAAAAGCAGCAGCAGUCGGGUGGCGAUAGUCUCUGAGAACAGUUCAAAUUGAGGUGAUCCCCGCCCCAUUCAUCAAUAUAUUUCUUCCACAUUUGAACUGAUUAAUGUCAGAAAAGAGUGAAUGAUUUGAUAAGAAUCUCUU
Caenorhabditis elegans is the source of this 147-nucleotide non-coding RNA. Lineage: Eukaryota; Metazoa; Nematoda; Chromadorea; Rhabditida; Rhabditidae. The record is from Ensembl.